UUGAGGCAUAAAAGAAAACUCAACAGAUGGAACAGGACCCCACAAGCAACUCUUCAAACCUGAAUCAUGCAUUUUUCUUGCAUACAGGGAUGGAAAUGCUGAGCACUUGCCAGUCACUUGGAAAGACUCUUAAAGAGGCAGAGCCUGCCCUUGACCUCUUGUCCCCUCCACUGGACUGCCGUCAAGUCUUCAUUGUUAUGUGUAGAGUUCAGUCCCAGCAAUAUCACCCUCCAAGGAAAUGUGCAAAUGACUGAAACUUGUAGAAGAACUCUCAUCAUGUGAAACAUCAGAGAAGAGGUUCAAUAAGAGCUAAGUGAAAUUCUGUGACAAUGGAGACAGAAAAUGCUGAAGGAAGAAAACAGCUGGAAAGGGGAAGAGAGAUACAUGGCAGGAUUUAUGAAACAGUAUUAAUAAACAAUGGAGGAGCAUAACACAGGGACAUAUGUUAGAGCUGUCAGCAAGAUAAUACAUUAUAUUGGCUGUAAGAUAAACAUGUCAAGUAAACAGUAUUAUUUUAUUAAUGUAAUUAUGAAUGUCUGCUAGGACGGCAUAUAGAUACAAGGUAAUUUUUGAUGGUUGAUAGGCUCAGUUUGUAUUUUCCAUCUGAUGGUGAAUUUCAUGGGGGCAGAGACUGUAUCUUAUUCUUUUUAUACUUUCUAGUGAUUAGUUCAACACUUAUGACACAGAAAGCAGUGAAUAAAUAUUUGUUUUUUUUUAAAGGACAUCUGAUGUUUAAAAGUCUUUGUAAUCAGCUUGAUCUUAUACAUGCUUUUUAAUUUUCCUCUUCUCCCUAUGCAUGCCUCCCGCCCUAUGCAUCACUGCCUCAAGAAGGCAUGCCAGCAUCCAUUCUCUUCUCUUGGCCUUCCCCAGGCUGUUCUAUAUCCAUUUAUGCUUCAGCACAGCUUAUGUCCCAUAAAGUCUAUGAGGUCUCAUUGCCUGCUCUUUCUAUAUUCAUUUCCUUCUCUUUGAAGGUAGAACGCUCAUGUUCACUUUUCAUUGACUGUUUCACCUGUUCAAGACUCAUUUCCUUGCCGAGACUACAAGCUUUUUGUCAGAAGGAACCAUACUUCAGUGAAGGUAAAUUUCUAUGCUUCCCAUGUUGCAGAG
Molecule: non-coding RNA, 1107 nt
Organism: Vicugna pacos (alpaca)
Lineage: Eukaryota; Metazoa; Chordata; Mammalia; Artiodactyla; Camelidae
Source: RefSeq, a predicted model, not a curated record